RNAcentral lists this ribosomal RNA (490 nucleotides) under uncultured bacterium. RNAcentral describes it as "partial 16S ribosomal RNA". It matches the Rfam family "Bacterial small subunit ribosomal RNA", at positions 28 to 507 of the family's 1533-position model. The record is from RNAcentral.
GAUGAACGCUAGCUACAGGCUUAACACAUGCAAGUCGAGGGGAAACGAUGAGAGAGCUUGCUCUCUUAGGCGUCGACCGGCGCACGGGUGAGUAACGCGUAUCCAACCUACCCAUUACAGGGGGAUAACCUUGCGAAAGUAAGACUAAUACCCCAUGGCAUUUUAUGGUGGCAUCAUUAUAGGAUUAAAGAUUUAUUGGUAAUGGAUGGGGAUGCGUCUGAUUAGCUUGUUGGCGGGGUAACGGCCCACCAAGGCAACGAUCAGUAGGGGUUCUGAGAGGAAGGUCCCCCACAUUGGAACUGAGACACGGUCCAAACUCCUACGGGGGGCAGCAGUGAGGAAUAUUGGUCAAUGGGCGAGAGCUUGAACCAGCCAAGUAGCGUGCAGGAUGACGGCCCUAUGGGUUGUAAACUGCUUUUAUAGGGGAAUAAAGUGAGCUACGUGUAGUUUAUUGCAUGUACCCUAUGAAUAAGGACCGGCUAAUUCCGUG